This 1457-nucleotide unclassified non-coding RNA is filed under the name uncultured Tubeufiales. Its description in RNAcentral is "sequence contains 18S rRNA gene, ITS1, 5.8S rRNA gene, ITS2, 28S rRNA gene". The stretch from base 519 to 1457 matches the Rfam family "Eukaryotic large subunit ribosomal RNA", at positions 1 to 961 of the family's 3401-position model. The record is from RNAcentral. Lineage: Eukaryota; Fungi; Ascomycota; Dothideomycetes.
GGAAGGAUCAUUACUGAGUACCGGGUCUCUCAGGCCCUUACUCCCACCCUCUGUGUACCUUACCAAAUUUUAGUUGCCUUGGUGGGAACUCUGUUCUUUCCCUUGGGAUUUAAUCCUUUGGGCGCCAGAGCCCACCAUUGGAACUUUUUUAAACUCUUAUGAAUUGAGACGUCUGAGAACAAAAACAAAAUAAAUUAAAACUUUCAACAACGGAUCUCUUGGUUCUGGCAUCGAUGAAGAACGCAGCGAAAUGCGAUAAGUAAUGUGAAUUGCAGAAUUCAGUGAAUCAUCGAAUCUUUGAACGCACAUUGCGCCCUUUGGUAUUCCGAGGGGCAUGCCUGUUCGAGCGUCAUUUCAACCCUCAAGCUUCUGCUUGGUAUUGGGCUUCAUCCUGUCUAAAAGGAUGUGUCUAAAACUCAUUGGCGGUUGCACUUAGCUCCCUUGCGUAGUUAUAUUUUUUCCUCGCUUGGAAAUUUAGGUGUCAACCCGCCUGAGAACCCCCCAUAUUUCUCAAGGUUUGACCUCGGAUCAGGUAGGGAUACCCGCUGAACUUAAGCAUAUCAAUAAGCGGAGGAAAAGAAACCAACAGGGAUUGCCUCAGUAACGGCGAGUGAAGCGGCAAUAGCUCAAAUUUGAAAUCUGGCUCUUUCAGAGUCCGAGUUGUAAUUUGUAGAGGAUGCUUCGGCUUACGUCUCGGUCUAAGUUCCUUGGAACAGGACGUCACAGAGGGUGAGAAUCCCGUUUGUGGCCGCGACUUCCGCCAUGUGAAGCUCCUUCGACGAGUCGAGUUGUUUGGGAAUGCAGCUCUAAAUGGGAGGUAAAUUUCUUCUAAAGCUAAAUACCGGCCAGAGACCGAUAGCGCACAAGUAGAGUGAUCGAAAGAUGAAAAGCACUUUGGAAAGAGAGUUAAAAAGUACGUGAAAUUGUUGAAAGGGAAGCGCUUGCGACCAGACUUGCCCGCGGAUGCUCAACCGGUCCUUCGGCCGGUGCACUCUUCCGCGGUCAGGCCAGCAUCAGUUCGAGUAGUUAGAUAAAGGCUUAGGGAAUGUGGCUCUCUUCGGGGAGUGUUAUAGCCCUUUGUGCAAUAUAACUCACUUGGACUGAGGCCCGCGCUUCGGCUAGGAUGCUGGCGUAAUGGUCGUAAGCGGCCCGUCUUGAAACACGGACCAAGGAGUCUAACAUCUAUGCGAGUGUUUGGGUGUCAAACCCGUGCGCGAAAUGAAAGUGAACGGAGGUGGGAACCUUUGGGUGCACCAUCGACCGAUCCUGAUGUCUUCGGAUGGAUUUGAGUAAGAGCAUAGCUGUUGGGACCCGAAAGAUGGUGAACUAUGCCUGAAUAGGGUGAAGCCAGAGGAAACUCUGGUGGAGGCUCGCAGCGGUUCUGACGUGCAAAUCGAUCGUCAAAUUUGGGUAUAGGGGCGAAAGACUAAUCGAACCAUCUAGUAGCUGGUUCCUGC